This 253-nucleotide ribosomal RNA is filed under the name uncultured bacterium. Its description in RNAcentral is "partial 16S ribosomal RNA". It matches the Rfam family "Bacterial small subunit ribosomal RNA", at positions 524 to 776 of the family's 1533-position model. The record is from RNAcentral.
UACGUAGGGGGCGAGCGUUGUCCGGAAUUAUUGGGCGUAAAGAGCGUGUAGGCGGUUCGGUAAGUCUGUCGUGAAAUCCUGGGGCUCAACCUCGGGCGUGCGAUGGAUACUGCCGGGCUAGAGGGUGGUAGAGGCGAGUGGAAUUCCCGGUGUAGCGGUGAAAUGCGCAGAUAUCGGGAGGAACACCAGUAGCGAAGGCGGCUCGCUGGGCCACACCUGACGCUGAGACGCGAAAGCUGGGGGAGCGAACAGG